This 419-nucleotide ribosomal RNA is filed under the name uncultured bacterium. RNAcentral's name for it is "bacterial SSU rRNA". It matches the Rfam family "Bacterial small subunit ribosomal RNA", at positions 355 to 772 of the family's 1533-position model. The record is from RNAcentral.
UAGGGAAUAUUGGGCAAUGGGCGAGAGCCUGACCCAGCCAUGCCGCGUGCCGGAUGAAGGCCUUCUGGGUUGUAAACGGCUUUUCUCAGGGAAGAAAAGGACCAUGCGUGGUACACUGACGGUACCUGCGGAAUAAGCACCGGCUAACUCCGUGCCAGCAGCCGCGGUAAUACGGAGGGUGCAAGCGUUGUCCGGAUUUAUUGGGUUUAAAGGGUGCGUAGGUGGCCUGGUAAGUCCGUGGUGAAAGCCUCUUGCUCAACAAGAGAGCUGCCAUGGAUACUGCCGGGCUUGAGUCCAGACGAGGUUGGCGGAAUAGAGGCUGUAGCGGUGAAAUGCAUAGAUAGCCUCUAGAACCCCGAUUGCGUAGGCAGCUGGCUAGGCUGGUACUGACACUGAGGCACGAAAGCGUGGGGAGCGAA